CGUAGGGUGCGAGCGUUAAUCGGAAUUACUGGGCGUAAAGCGUGCGCAGGCGGUUUUGUAAGACAGGCGUGAAAUCCCCGGGCUCAACCUGGGAACUGCGCUUGUGACUGCAAGGCUAGAGUACGGCAGAGGGGGUGGAAUUCCACGUGUAGCAGUGAAAUGCGUAGAGAUGUGGAGGAACACCAAUGGCGAAGGCAGCCCCCUGGGUCGAUACUGACGCUCAUGCACGAAAGCGUGGGUAGCAAACAGGAUUAGAUACCCUGGUAGUCCACGCCCUAAACGAUGUCAACUAGGUGUUGGGUGGGUAAAACCAUUUAGUACCGGAGCUAACGCGUGAAGUUGACCGCCUGGGGAGUACGGCCGCAAGGCUG
RNAcentral lists this ribosomal RNA (371 nucleotides) under uncultured organism. RNAcentral's name for it is "bacterial SSU rRNA". It matches the Rfam family "Bacterial small subunit ribosomal RNA", at positions 526 to 896 of the family's 1533-position model. The record is from RNAcentral.